Molecule: ribosomal RNA, 568 nt
Filed under: Nigrospora sp. P19E2
Lineage: Eukaryota; Fungi; Ascomycota; Sordariomycetes; Amphisphaeriales; Apiosporaceae
Description: eukaryotic LSU rRNA
Rfam family: 5.8S ribosomal RNA (bases 211-364)
Source: RNAcentral
AGAGGAAGUAAAAGUCGUAACAAGGUCUCCGUUGGUGAACCAGCGGAGGGAUCAUUACAGAGUUAUCCAACUCCCAAACCCAUGUGAACAUAUCUCUUUGUUGCCUCGGCGCAAGCUACCCGGGACCUCGCGCCCCGGGCGGCCCGCCGGCGGACAAACCAAACUCUGUUAUCUUCGUUGAUUAUCUGAGUGUCUUAUUUAAUAAGUCAAAACUUUCAACAACGGAUCUCUUGGUUCUGGCAUCGAUGAAGAACGCAGCGAAAUGCGAUAAGUAAUGUGAAUUGCAGAAUUCAGUGAAUCAUCGAAUCUUUGAACGCACAUUGCGCCCAUUAGUAUUCUAGUGGGCAUGCCUGUUCGAGCGUCAUUUCAACCCCUAAGCACAGCUUAUUGUUGGGCGUCUACGUCUGUAGUGCCUCAAAGACAUUGGCGGAGCGGCAGCAGUCCUCUGAGCGUAGUAAUUCUUUAUCUCGCUUCUGUUAGGCGCUGCCCCCCCGGCCGUAAAACCCCCAAUUUUUUCUGGUUGACCUCGGAUCAGGUAGGAAUACCCGCUGAACUUAAGCAUAUCAAU